Small nuclear RNA from Myotis lucifugus (little brown bat), 106 nucleotides. Lineage: Eukaryota; Metazoa; Chordata; Mammalia; Chiroptera; Vespertilionidae. The record is from Ensembl.
GUACUCGCUUUGGCAGCACAUAUACUAAAAAUUGGAACCACAGAGAAGAGUAGCAUGGCCCCUGCGCAAGGAUGACAUGCAAAUUCGUGAAGCAUUCCAUAUUUUU